CCUCCUUUUUUAACAAUGCUGUAUAUACAUGAAGACUUGCUGUGUAUUCAGUGUGGCACAUGGAUGGAGUGGAUGCUUUGAACUGCUUUUGCAACAAUGGAUUCUGCUUGACUGAUAAUGAAACCAUGGGAUAGACCUCAGGGAGUGGCAAAGAGAUGAGGGAUCCUGAGGUCACUGUGCCGUGUGGGACAUCAACUGAAUGUGCCAAAGAUUGUGAACAUGAGUCUUCUCACAAAAGCCGACAAGGCUGGAAUGGACAAGGGAUGGAUGCCAACCACUUCUCGCUCUCUGCAUUUCCCUCCUGCCGAGUCUCCAGUGGCUGGUUGGAGAGCUUGACUUGGAGCCAGACUGGGGGGAGUAAUUUACUGCUGGCCUCUAAUGGCUAUAAAUUACUACAUGCCCUGGGGAAUUGCAGCUAUAAAGGUAGGGCUGUGACUCAGAGCUGGGUUCCAUGCUCACCACCUCUAACGUCUUUCUCUUACACGUGGAGCACCAAGCUAUGACUGACCUAAAAAAAAACCCCUUCCCUGUGUUUCCAGGCUGGUCCCAUACAAAAUGUUGCUAAUUAUUGGAGUUUUCUCCAUAUGUAUUGUCAGUCUACUGAGGUUCAGCAAUGUAAUUCUGAACCUCUGGGGAGCAGUGACUUCCUGAGAAAUCAUCUCUUGUUCUGAAAUCCAAGGAGCUCCAGCUCAAUGAGGAGAUGGAGGGGAAUGGCACAGGUUUCACCACUGAACUUUUGUUUUGCUUUCUGCUUAUGAACACCAUACAGAACUUCAAAUAACAUUACUAAGCAAAAAGCUUUAUGAUUAAUUAUGCCUGGUGCAGGUAUAAUUUAAACAUAUUGACUUGUCUGAAGUAAGUGCCAGACGGUGCAAUAGGGGAGACAGGAAGUGGCUGGUCAAGAUUGCUGAACCAAGCUGGAAUAAGAAGUCAGGGAGAGGAAGCGCAUCAUCAUUUAACUUUGCUUGGCAGCUCAGCAGAAAACUGAUGCAAUUGCUGAUGGACACUGAUAUCAAAGGGAGAAAAAUCAUGACAAAUUCUUUGUGCUUUUAAAAUUAAUGUAAAGCUAAUCAAUAGCUUGACUUGGUGCAAUAUAAAAAUGUAGUACUGGGACCUCCAUUAAAAUGAUUUUUCUUUAAACCUGUAUUCUGGGAUUGCUAUUAGAGAGGCUUUAGAGAUAAUAACGGCAGUUAAAAGAGAGCUUUCCAAUUCCCACCAGGUUGUUGCAUUUCACAGCAACUAGUCUGUAGCUGUGCUGGGAACUAGGUAAUGUCAGCCCUUGAAAGAUUAUGUUUUCUUUAGAGUUUUUUCUUUACAGGCCAGUGGGUCCCUAGGAAUAUUUAAGAUAGCACAUAAUGGGGUCAGGAAUGGAGAGAAAAAGAAACCAUUUGACUGUACUAUACUCAGUGUGCUAAAAGAGACCUUGGCUUUUUUUUUCCACACCCUCCCCCCCCUCAACUCUCUCCAGAAAACUGUGACCAUAUGUGAAUCCAUGAGCCACAAUUCAGAAUCCAAUCAGCUGCCUUAGGUUUCUGAUAAGAGAUCAUAUUGUAGUGAGGGCUCUCUUGCCUUUGAUAACCCUUGCGUCUAAAACCAGAAUAUGUGUAUUUUUCUCAACUCAGUGGGGGUGUUUUAUCACCCUGUGCUCACAUUCUUCACUCUCUCACUCAAGCUGGUCAUAGCUGUUUAAUGGUUAUCACUGUGCCAUCUGUAAAAGUGUUACAUGGUUCUCUGCAGUCCUGCUCAGAGACGUCUAUUCCUCCUAAAUCGUGUCUCUGUGGGUGCUGGUCACAGAAACUCAGCACUCCUGGAGCCGACUGGUGAUUCAUACCUGCAGAGUUCCCUGAUGCUGGCUGUGCUGAAGCCAGAGAUGUCGCCAGUAUCUCUGUGGGUGAGAUAAAGAUGCAAAAUGAUUUGGUGUUGCAUGCUGGCCUUCUCCUGAGUUAGUCCUGGAAGCUUUGUGAUGGUAAGUUACAACUUCAUCAGGAAUGCUUACAGUUUAACUUCACUGCUCUUCCCUUUUGACAGCAGUGGUCACAAAUAUGAUGUCUCCAUAAAUCUGCUACUCAGGCCAUGGCAUUGAUAAUAACCCAUUAUAUGAGGCUGAAGCGAGUCUAAAGAAUUGCCUUGGUGUGACUCUUAAACAUGGCAUAGGAUUUUUGAUUCCACUCUUAGGAUUUCAUUUACAUAGGUGGGGACAUGGGAAUGAAGGAAGCCUCCAAAGCUUAACAUGAGCAUCUGGAUGGGAUGGUAAUGAAGUUUCACUGUGGGAGAGAUUUUGAAGGCAUGGAGAUGGCAUUGUGAGUUGCUCUGAAAGCUGCCAAUUGUUGUCAGUAUGUUGACAAUUAUUUUCAAUUUGUUUUGUUUUGGUUUUUAAUUGUGAAAAUGUUCCCAGAAGCUUAGUAAAUGAGGACAUGUUCUUAUAAAUAUUGAGCUAAAAUGUAAAAGCUCACAUGGCCCAGCUUUGGUUAUGAAACCUACUUCUUGCAGUUGGUGUCAUUCUGCCCCUUGAAGGCCUGUGUUCAGAAGUGGUGCCUCUAGUUGUAGGAUGAGGGUAUUUAUCUCAGCCUACAAUGAGACAAUGCUUAGAGUAUGCUUCUUUUAAGCUGCACAUGCAGCCUUACAAAUGGAUUUAAUCCCACUCCAGCACAUGGCUUUGUUUGUGGACGUAGGAUGCCAGGAAAUAACAAUAUAUUCUGUAUGAUAUUUAUAAGCUGCAUGCAA
This is a long non-coding RNA of Zonotrichia albicollis (white-throated sparrow), 2724 nucleotides long. RefSeq lists it as uncharacterized. The record is from RefSeq and is a predicted model, not a curated record. Lineage: Eukaryota; Metazoa; Chordata; Aves; Passeriformes; Passerellidae.